Molecule: unclassified non-coding RNA, 307 nt
Filed under: Roseateles sp. YR242
Lineage: Bacteria; Pseudomonadati; Pseudomonadota; Betaproteobacteria; Burkholderiales; Sphaerotilaceae
Description: Long range pseudoknot
Source: RNAcentral
ACGGACGAAGGCGACUACCAGAUCAAGAUGCGCAAUCUGCGUCGCUUCAUCGCUGAAGACGGCGACAAGGGCAAGGUCACGCUGCGUUAUCGCGGCCGCGAAAUCACCCACCAGGACAUCGGCAUGCGCAUGCUGGAGCGCAUUCGUGAUGAGCUGUCGGAUGUGGCGGUUGUUGAGCACAUGCCCAAGCUCGAAGGUCGUCAGAUGAUCAUGGUGCUGGCGCCCAAGAAACGGUCCUGAUGCGGCCGUCCUGAUGCUUCCGGCUCCGCAGCGACGCGGGGCCAUCCCCCACCCCUACAGGGUGGGU